Molecule: ribosomal RNA, 1663 nt
Filed under: Nothobranchius foerschi
Lineage: Eukaryota; Metazoa; Chordata; Actinopteri; Cyprinodontiformes; Nothobranchiidae
Description: 16S ribosomal RNA
Rfam family: Bacterial large subunit ribosomal RNA (bases 92-1549)
Source: RNAcentral
ACUUAAAAGCUAGCUAUACCCCACAUCUAACAAAUAUAUAUCAAUAAGUAUAAAUAUACUAAAAAAUUUAAUUAAACCAUUCUCCCCUCUUAGUAAAGGUGAUAGAAAAGAAAAAUUAAGCUAUAGAUUUAGUACCGCAAGGGAAUACUGAAAAAGAAAUGAAAUAACACAGUAAAGUAAUACAAAGCAGAGAUAAAAACUCGUACCUUUUGCAUCAUGAUUUAGUAAGAACUAAUUAAGCAAAAUGUUUUCUAGUUUACCACCCCGAAACUAGGUGAGCUACUCCAAGACAGCCUGAUAACAGGGCAAACACGUCUCUGUGGCAAAAGAGUGUGAAGAUCUUUGAGUAGAGGUGACAGACCUACCGAACCUAGUUAUAGCUGGUUAUCUGAGAAUUAUAUAUAAGUUUAGCCUAUUGUUUUCUUAAUUUAACUAAAACUCAACUAUCUUAUAAUAAAAGAAUACAAUAGAGUUAUUCAUAAGAGGUCCAGCCCUUAUGAAAAAGGAUACAACCUUAUUAGGCGAUUAAUGAACACAAAUAUAAAGUUAAUGUUUUAGUGGGCUUAAAAGCAGCCAUCUAAAGAAAAAGCGUCAAAGCUCAAACAUUCUCAUUACUUUAAAUAAAAACCUUCUAUCACAUACCCCUAAUUUUAUCAGAUUUCUCCAUCUCACAUGGAAGAAAUUAUACUAAUAUGAGUAAUAAGAAAACUUUCUCCUAGCCCUCGUGUAAUUAGGAACGGAAAAUCCUCCUAAAAUUAAACGGUCUCAACUAAAGAGAGAAUUAAGUAAUAAAAAAAUAACAAGAAAAUUACGCAACCACAACCGUUAACCCCACACAAGUGUACAUAAAAGGAAAGAUAAAAAGAAUAAGAAGGAAUUCAGCAAUACUUAAAACCUCGCCUGUUUACCAAAAACAUCGCUUCUUGUGCCUCUUAUAAUAAGAAGUCCCGCCUGCCCUGUGACAAAGUUUUAACGGCCACGGUAUUUUGACCGUGCAAAGGUAGCGCAAUCACUUGUUUUUUAAAUAAAGACCUGUAUGAAUGGCAUAACGAGGGCUUAACUGUCUCCUUUCUCCUAUCAAUGAAAUUGAUCUCUUCGUGCAGAAGCGAAGAUAAGUACAUAAGACGAGAAGACCCUGUGGAUCUUUAACCAUAAAUAGAACAUACUCAAUUACUGAUACAACCAGUAAUACACAAUGAGCCCUAUUUAUAAUGGUUUUGGUUGGGGCGACCACGGAGUAAAAUACAACCUCCCUGAGGAAUGAAGACACCUCUUCCAAUCUCAGAGUGACAACUCCAAGAAAUAGACAUAUCUAACCAAAAUGAUCCGGCAAGCCGAUCAACGAACUCAGUUACCCCAGGGAUAACAGCGCAAUCCUCUUUUAGAGUCCAUAUCGACAAGAGGGUUUACGACCUCGAUGUUGGAUCAGGACAUCCUAAUGGUGCAACAACUAUUAAGGGUUCGUUUGUUCAACGAUUAAAGUCCUACGUGAUCUGAGUUCAGACCGGAGUAAUCCAGGUCGGUUUCUAUCUAUGAAAUAUUUUACUUCAGUACGAAAGGACCAAGUAAAAAAGGCCAAUGAUCAAUCAAGCCUUCUUCUUAACUAAUGCAGACAAAUAAAUAAGUAAAAGAAAAUACUUAUUUUAGGAAAAGAUAAUUCCAC